RNAcentral lists this long non-coding RNA (996 nucleotides) under Ananas comosus (pineapple). RNAcentral describes it as "long non-coding RNA (ACOM_LNC030691)". Lineage: Eukaryota; Viridiplantae; Streptophyta; Magnoliopsida; Poales; Bromeliaceae. The record is from RNAcentral.
CCAAUUCUGCAUCCAAUUCGUGCAGAAUUGACUCUGACUCAGUCCGACACUCUCCAGAGAUGUCGACUAGUCACUAAUACUGAAGCCAAUCCUAUCCAAAGGUCCAGAACACUACACACAGAGUCUACCGGACCUAAGAAGAUCCAACGGGUCAGUAACCAACCCACUCACCUGAAGUACACUAUCUCACAAACCCCCACACAGAUCCCCGUAUCGGUUUCCCAAAACCGAUUGUCGUAACUCACCGGAAGUCCCGAAAACCACACCGGGACGCCGUUGGGACCCACUAAGUGUCCUGAACUCACCGACUCGUGCCACGAGUCACCCGCUGCCCCAAAGCACUCCAAUUUGGAUGCCUUGGCAGCGAACACGAGGUAAUACAACAAUACGAUCAUCGCUAGAUAAUCGUACGAAUUCGGGUUCCCGGAAGUGUCUAUUUCGACACUUGGAACCCACCGUCGCUCACCCAUCAUCAUCGAACCCACAAAAUGAUGAUGGUGACCAGCCAACAAGGCUCAGCGACGAAACACGAAGCAACCAAACACCGUCGGAAAGAAUCCGAACCGAAACCGCGUUCUUUCGGCGAAUUUCGCCGAAAAACGCACCGAAAUCGACCUACCGAUUCCGCGAAAGCUAACGGACCAUGGACAAUCAGUCGAGCGAUCAUAACAAACUCCCACACACUGCCCACAGUAGCCACGCAAAGCACAAUCGCAUAAAAGACCCUCUAAUUACAUAAAAUAUCGUCAUUUUAUGUAAUUUGAGCGAUCAAGCGGCUCGUUCACGCAAACCGAGGACUUCCGAAGUCCGCAGAGACACGUACUGACAGGUCUCGACGUACCGGAGUCCGUGCUCAUGAUCCGGAGUACAGCGGCUCGCUGUGGGAAGCGCGGGAGCAACCCAAAGGUUCAGCGAAUAGCGCGCAGUCAGGGAAGAUCGUGCUGAACAGAACUAACCGGGCACUGCUGAUCCAAAAGAAGGUGAGCACUGUGAUCA